Molecule: ribosomal RNA, 460 nt
Filed under: uncultured bacterium
Lineage: Bacteria
Description: partial 16S ribosomal RNA
Rfam family: Bacterial small subunit ribosomal RNA
Source: RNAcentral
CCUACGGUGUGCAGCAGUGAGGAAUAUUGGUCAAUGGACGAGAGUCUGAACCAGCCAAGUAGCGUGAAGGAUGACUGCCCUAUGGGUUGUAAACUUCUUUUAUAAAGGAAUAAAACGAGGCACGUGUGCCUUUUUGCAUGUACUUUAUGAAUAAGGAUGGGCUAACUCCGUGCCAGCAGCCGCGGUAAUACGGAGGAUCCGACGGUUAUCCGGAUGCAUUGGGUUUAAAGGGAGCGUAGAUGGGUUUUUAAGUCAGUUGUGAAAUUUUGCGGAUCAACCGUGAAAUUGCAAUUGAUAAUGGCAGUCUUGAGUACAGUUGAGGUAGGCGGAAUUCGUGGUGUAGCGGUGAUAUGCUUAGAUAUCACGAAGAACCCCGAUUGCGAAGGCAGCUUACUAAACUGUGACUGACAUUGAUGCUCGAAAGUGUGGGUAUCAAACAGGAUUAGAUACCCCGGUAGUC